This 253-nucleotide ribosomal RNA is filed under the name uncultured Bacteroides sp. Its description in RNAcentral is "partial 16S ribosomal RNA". It matches the Rfam family "Bacterial small subunit ribosomal RNA", at positions 524 to 776 of the family's 1533-position model. Lineage: Bacteria; Pseudomonadati; Bacteroidota; Bacteroidia; Bacteroidales; Bacteroidaceae. The record is from RNAcentral.
UACGUAGGUGGCGAGCGUUAUCCGGAUUUAUUGGGUUUAAAGGGAGCGUAGGUGGAUUGUUAAGUCAGUUGUGAAAGUUUGCGGCUCAACCGUAAAAUUGCAGUUGAAACUGGCAGUCUUGAGUACAGUAGAGGUGGGCGGAAUUCGUGGUGUAGCGGUGAAAUGCGUAGAUAUAAGGAAGAACACCAGUGGCGAAGGCGGAUGACUGGACGGCAACUGACGGUGAGGCGCGAAAGCGUGGGGAGCAAACAGG